Molecule: non-coding RNA, 106 nt
Organism: Xylariaceae sp. AK1471
Lineage: Eukaryota; Fungi; Ascomycota; Sordariomycetes; Xylariales; Xylariaceae
Source: the annotation of a GenBank genome assembly
GCCCGCUUGGCUAAGUGGUAUAGCGUGUCACUAGUAGUUCCUUUAGAUUCUUCUUGAGAUUUUACGUGCCAUGACAAGAUCAGCGGUUCGAUUCCGCUAGUGGGCA